This 71-nucleotide transfer RNA is filed under the name Cubanichthys pengelleyi. RNAcentral's name for it is "tRNA-Ala". It matches the Rfam family "tRNA". From Rfam's summary of the family: Transfer RNA (tRNA) molecules are approximately 80 nucleotides in length. Lineage: Eukaryota; Metazoa; Chordata; Actinopteri; Cyprinodontiformes; Cyprinodontidae. The record is from RNAcentral.
AAGGGCUUUUAGCUUAAUUAAAGUGUCUGUUUUGCAUACAGAGGAUGUGGGUUAAUAUCCCGUAAGUCUUA